AGCUACUUGGCGCAGUGGAAGCGCGCCGGGCUCAUAACCCGGAGGACGCUGGAUCGAAACCAGCAGUAGCUA
RNAcentral lists this transfer RNA (72 nucleotides) under Massarina eburnea CBS 473.64. It matches the Rfam family "tRNA". Rfam says of the family: Transfer RNA (tRNA) molecules are approximately 80 nucleotides in length. Their secondary structure includes four short double-helical elements and three loops (D, anti-codon, and T loops). Further hydrogen bonds mediate the characteristic L-shaped molecular structure. tRNAs have two regions of fundamental functional importance: the anti-codon, which is responsible for specific mRNA codon recognition, and the 3' end, to which the tRNAs corresponding amino acid is attached (by aminoacyl-tRNA synthetases). tRNAs cope with the degeneracy of the genetic code in two manners: having more than one tRNA (with a specific anti-codon) for a particular amino acid; and 'wobble' base-pairing, i.e. permitting non-standard base-pairing at the 3rd anti-codon position. Lineage: Eukaryota; Fungi; Ascomycota; Dothideomycetes; Pleosporales; Massarinaceae. The record is from Rfam by way of RNAcentral.